This 2923-nucleotide ribosomal RNA is filed under the name Klebsiella pneumoniae. RNAcentral describes it as "23S ribosomal RNA". It matches the Rfam family "Bacterial large subunit ribosomal RNA". The record is from RNAcentral. RNAcentral also lists the same sequence under 1 other name. Lineage: Bacteria; Pseudomonadati; Pseudomonadota; Gammaproteobacteria; Enterobacterales; Enterobacteriaceae.
GGGUUGUGAGGUUAAGCGACUAAGCGUACACGGUGGAUGCCCUGGCAGUCAGAGGCGAUGAAGGACGUGCUAAUCUGCGAAAAGCGUCGGUAAGGUGAUAUGAACCGUUAUAGCCGGCGAUGUCCGAAUGGGGAAACCCAGUGCAAUUCGUUGCACUAUCGUUAACUGAAUACAUAGGUUAACGAGGCGAACCGGGGGAACUGAAACAUCUAAGUACCCCGAGGAAAAGAAAUCAACCGAGAUUCCCCCAGUAGCGGCGAGCGAACGGGGAGCAGCCCAGAGUCUGAAUCAGCUUGUGUGUUAGUGGAACGGUCUGGAAAGUCCGACGGUACAGGGUGAUAGUCCCGUACACCAAAAUGCACAGGCUGUGAACUCGAAGAGUAGGGCGGGACACGUGGUAUCCUGUCUGAAUAUGGGGGGACCAUCCUCCAAGGCUAAAUACUCCUGACUGACCGAUAGUGAACCAGUACCGUGAGGGAAAGGCGAAAAGAACCCCGGCGAGGGGAGUGAAAAAGAACCUGAAACCGUGUACGUACAAGCAGUGGGAGCACCUUCGGGUGUGACUGCGUACCUUUUGUAUAAUGGGUCAGCGACUUAUAUUCUGUAGCAAGGUUAACCGUAUAGGGGAGCCGCAGGGAAACCGAGUCUUAACUGGGCGUUAAGUUGCAGGGUAUAGACCCGAAACCCGGUGAUCUAGCCAUGGGCAGGUUGAAGGUUGGGUAACACUAACUGGAGGACCGAACCGACUAAUGUUGAAAAAUUAGCGGAUGACUUGUGGCUGGGGGUGAAAGGCCAAUCAAACCGGGAGAUAGCUGGUUCUCCCCGAAAGCUAUUUAGGUAGCGCCUCGUGAAUUCAUCUUCGGGGGUAGAGCACUGUUUCGGCUAGGGGGUCAUCCCGACUUACCAACCCGAUGCAAACUACGAAUACCGAAGAAUGUUAUCACGGGAGACACACGGCGGGUGCUAACGUCCGUCGUGAAGAGGGAAACAACCCAGACCGCCAGCUAAGGUCCCAAAGUCAUGGUUAAGUGGGAAACGAUGUGGGAAGGCACAGACAGCCAGGAUGUUGGCUUAGAAGCAGCCAUCAUUUAAAGAAAGCGUAAUAGCUCACUGGUCGAGUCGGCCUGCGCGGAAGAUGUAACGGGGCUAAACCAUGCACCGAAGCUGCGGCAGCGACACUAUGUGUUGUUGGGUAGGGGAGCGUUCUGUAAGCCUGCGAAGGUGUGCUGUGAGGCAUGCUGGAGGUAUCAGAAGUGCGAAUGCUGACAUAAGUAACGAUAAAGCGGGUGAAAAGCCCGCUCGCCGGAAGACCAAGGGUUCCUGUCCAACGUUAAUCGGGGCAGGGUGAGUCGACCCCUAAGGCGAGGCCGAAAGGCGUAGUCGAUGGGAAACAGGUUAAUAUUCCUGUACUUGGUGUUACUGCGAAGGGGGGACGGAGAAGGCUAUGUUAGCCGGGCGACGGUUGUCCCGGUUUAAGCAUGUAGGCUGGUUAUCCAGGCAAAUCCGGAUAAUCAAGGCUGAGGUGUGAUGACGAGGCACUACGGUGCUGAAGUAACAAAUGCCCUGCUUCCAGGAAAAGCCUCUAAGCAUCAGGUAACAUCAAAUCGUACCCCAAACCGACACAGGUGGUCAGGUAGAGAAUACCAAGGCGCUUGAGAGAACUCGGGUGAAGGAACUAGGCAAAAUGGUGCCGUAACUUCGGGAGAAGGCACGCUGGUGUGUAGGUGAAGUCCCUGCGGAUGGAGCUGAGACCAGUCGAAGAUACCAGCUGGCUGCAACUGUUUAUUAAAAACACAGCACUGUGCAAACACGAAAGUGGACGUAUACGGUGUGACGCCUGCCCGGUGCCGGAAGGUUAAUUGAUGGGGUUAUCCGUAAGGAGAAGCUCUUGAUCGAAGCCCCGGUAAACGGCGGCCGUAACUAUAACGGUCCUAAGGUAGCGAAAUUCCUUGUCGGGUAAGUUCCGACCUGCACGAAUGGCGUAAUGAUGGCCAGGCUGUCUCCACCCGAGACUCAGUGAAAUUGAACUCGCUGUGAAGAUGCAGUGUACCCGCGGCAAGACGGAAAGACCCCGUGAACCUUUACUAUAGCUUGACACUGAACAUUGAGCCUUGAUGUGUAGGAUAGGUGGGAGGCUUUGAAGCGUGGACGCCAGUCUGCGUGGAGCCAACCUUGAAAUACCACCCUUUAAUGUUUGAUGUUCUAACGUUGGCCCCUUACCGGGGUUGCGGACAGUGUCUGGUGGGUAGUUUGACUGGGGCGGUCUCCUCCCAAAGCGUAACGGAGGAGCACGAAGGUUAGCUAAUCCUGGUCGGACAUCAGGAGGUUAGUGCAAUGGCAUAAGCUAGCUUGACUGCGAGCGUGACGGCGCGAGCAGGUGCGAAAGCAGGUCAUAGUGAUCCGGUGGUUCUGAAUGGAAGGGCCAUCGCUCAACGGAUAAAAGGUACUCCGGGGAUAACAGGCUGAUACCGCCCAAGAGUUCAUAUCGACGGCGGUGUUUGGCACCUCGAUGUCGGCUCAUCACAUCCUGGGGCUGAAGUAGGUCCCAAGGGUAUGGCUGUUCGCCAUUUAAAGUGGUACGCGAGCUGGGUUUAGAACGUCGUGAGACAGUUCGGUCCCUAUCUGCCGUGGGCGCUGGAGAAUUGAGGGGGGCUGCUCCUAGUACGAGAGGACCGGAGUGGACGCAUCACUGGUGUUCGGGUUGUCAUGCCAAUGGCACUGCCCGGUAGCUAAAUGCGGAAGAGAUAAGUGCUGAAAGCAUCUAAGCACGAAACUUGCCCCGAGAUGAGUUCUCCCUGAGACUUUAAGUCUCCUGAAGGAACGUUAAAGACGAUGACGUUGAUAGGCCGGGUGUGUAAGCGCAGCGAUGCGUUGAGCUAACCGGUACUAAUGAACCGUGAGGCUUAACCUUACAACGCCGAAG